GGCUGGUCCAAGUGCAGUGGUGUUUACAACUAAUUGAUCACAACCAGUUACAGAUUUCUUUGUUCCUUCUCCAUUCCCACUGCUUGUCUUGACUAGCAUUUA
Molecule: Y RNA, 102 nt
Filed under: Carlito syrichta (Philippine tarsier)
Lineage: Eukaryota; Metazoa; Chordata; Mammalia; Primates; Tarsiidae
Description: Y RNA (ENSTSYG00000034970.1)
Rfam family: Y RNA
About the family: Y RNAs are components of the Ro ribonucleoprotein particle (Ro RNP), in association with Ro60 and La proteins.
Source: Rfam by way of RNAcentral